RNAcentral lists this long non-coding RNA (503 nucleotides) under Sus scrofa (pig). Its description in RNAcentral is "lncRNA (ENSSSCG00025060371.1)". Lineage: Eukaryota; Metazoa; Chordata; Mammalia; Artiodactyla; Suidae. The record is from RNAcentral.
GGUUGAGGAGAAGGUGAUGUGCUCCGCAGGCUGGAGGCGCGUGGAUGGAGUAGACCGAGGAGCGUGGGUUGGAAUCAAGGAGAGAGGUGUGUUGGUCCGAAUGGCACACACUUGGCAGCUGGGAGAGCAAAAGAGGGACUGAGAAUGUGCCACUGGAUCCUGCAGCUGCUACAGAGAUACCAACUGCAGAGAUUCAAUAUCACCCCUCCUAACACACGGGGACCAUCUUCCCUGCUGGUUGUAUCAAAAAGAGUCUGUGAAGAUGAAGAUGUUUAUAAGUGUAAACCUCUACACAAAAAUAAGAUAUCAUUUUUGCAGACAAGCCACAACAAAUGGCAGAAAUUCUCAAUUAAUGAGAACACUCUUUUGUGUGUACUAUUGCAGUUGGACUGCAGCUGAUGGCACGCAGCACCAGUCCUUUGGAAGAUGCCUCACUGAAGGGUAUCAGUUAGCUCUUGCUAACUUAGUUUAAAAUAAUAAAUAAUAAAUAUUCAUUCUUUUCA